This 906-nucleotide ribosomal RNA is filed under the name uncultured Psychrobacter sp. RNAcentral describes it as "bacterial SSU rRNA". It matches the Rfam family "Bacterial small subunit ribosomal RNA", at positions 121 to 1011 of the family's 1533-position model. The record is from RNAcentral. Lineage: Bacteria; Pseudomonadati; Pseudomonadota; Gammaproteobacteria; Moraxellales; Moraxellaceae.
GCGAACACAAGUAAUUGGGGGGGAAAGCACGGGGGGAAACUCGGUAUUAAUACCGCAUACGACCUACGGGAGAAAGGGGGCAGUUUACUGCUCUCGCUAUUAGAUGAGCCUAAGUCGGAUUAGCUAGAUGGUGGGGUAAAGGCCUACCAUGGCGACGAUCUGUAGCUGGUCUGAGAGGAUGAUCAGCCACACCGGGACUGAGACACGGCCCGGACUCCUACGGGAGGCAGCAGUGGGGAAUAUUGGACAAUGGGGGAAACCCUGAUCCAGCCAUGCCGCGUGUGUGAAGAAGGCCUUUUGGUUGUAAAGCACUUUAAGCAGUGAAGAAGACUCCAUGGUUAAUACCCAUGGACGAUGACAUUAGCUGCAGAAUAAGCACCGGCUAACUCUGUGCCAGCAGCCGCGGUAAUACAGAGGGUGCAAGCGUUAAUCGGAAUUACUGGGCGUAAAGGGAGCGUAGGUGGCUCUAUAAGUCAGAUGUGAAAUCCCCGGGCUUAACCUGGGAACUGCAUCUGAAACUGUAGAGCUAGAGUAUGUGAGAGGAAGGUAGAAUUCCAGGUGUAGCGGUGAAAUGCGUAGAGAUCUGGAGGAAUACCGAUGGCGAAGGCAGCCUUCUGGCAUAAAUACUGACACUGAGGCUCGAAAGCGUGGGUAGCAAACAGGAUUUAGAUACCCUGGGUAGUCCACGCCGUAAACGAUGUCUACUAGUCGUUGGGGUCCCCUUGAGGACUUAGUGACGCAGCUAACGCAAUAAGUAGACCGCCUGGGGAGUACGGCCGCAAGGUUAAAACUCAAAUGAUUUGACCGGGGGCUCCGCACAAGCGGUGGAGCAUGUGGUUUAAUUUCGAUGCAACGCGUAAGAACCUUACCUUGGUCUUGACAUAAUCCAAGAAUCCUGCAGAAGAU